UCUCUCACGCACUCUCUCCAUUUUUCCUCUUCUUUUCCUUUUCUUUCUUCUUUCUCUUUUCUUCUUCCUUCCUCUCCAGCAACCCGUACGCCCGACACCCCUUCUUCUUCUUCUUCUCUUCUUCUUCCUCUUCGGUCACGCCCAGCCAGUAGCCCUUCCCCUUUCUUCUUCUUCUCUUUGUCUCUUUCCCCCUCACACACACACCCAGCCCAUGAGAGACCGAUUGAGAGAGAGAGAACCGAAGUAGGCUCGGGAACCCACCGAACCCAUGAAACCAAACCGUGAGAAGGCCUGAUCCUGCAGUUGUCCGGCAGGUGGUGGUGCGGUUUUGGAGCGCGGUGGUCAAGCCACCGUCUGGGCGUGGAGACAGCAGCUAGGGCCGUGAAUUCCAGCCCUGUUCCGAUGCUGUCCUUUUGGCUGCAGGUACUCGAGUCGUAGUUGAUGGGGUUGUAGACGUGCAUUUGGGAUAUUAUGAUCGGAGCUCGCCGCGACGGUCGUAAAUGCGGGACCAGGGGCGUCCUCAAUUUUAUAGGUCUUGUUAUGGCUUGUGACGUAUGUGUCACUCGUUAUUGUAUAAAGCCAUUUCUGUUAUGUAUUUAUAUUGAGGAAAGAUUUAAACACAUAGAUGUUAAAUGGCUCUUGUUGUUAUUAAUUUGUGAUAGAUGUUUAAGAUGUGA
Molecule: long non-coding RNA, 677 nt
Organism: Alnus glutinosa
Lineage: Eukaryota; Viridiplantae; Streptophyta; Magnoliopsida; Fagales; Betulaceae
Exons: 2
Source: RefSeq, a predicted model, not a curated record